CCUACGGGAGGCAGCAGUAGGGAAUCUUCCGCAAUGGACGAAAGUCUGACGGAGCAACGCCGCGUGAACGAUGAAGGCCUUCGGGUCGUAAAGUUCUGUUGUUAGGGAAGAACAAGUGCUAGUUGAAUAAGCUGGCACCUUGACGGUACCUAACCAGAAAGCCACGGCUAACUACGUGCCAGCAGCCGCGGUAAUACGUAGGUGGCAAGCGUUGUCCGGAAUUAUUGGGCGUAAAGCGCGCGCAGGCGGUUUCUUAAGUCUGAUGUGAAAGCCCCCGGCUCAACCGGGGAGGGUCAUUGGAAACUGGGAAACUUGAGUGCAGAAGAGGAAAGUGGAAUUCCAAGUGUAGCGGUGAAAUGCGUAGAGAUUUGGAGGAACACCAGUGGCGAAGGCGACUUUCUGGUCUGUAACUGACGCUGAGGCGCGAAAGCGUGGGGAGCAAACAGGAUUAGAUACCCUGGUAGUCCACGCUGUAAACGAUGAGUGCUAAAGUGUUAAGAGGGUUUUCCGCCCUUUUAGUGCUGAAAGUUUAACCGCAUUAAGCACUUCCGCCUGGGGGAUACCGGUCGCAAAGACUUGAAAACCUUAANAAGUUAUUAGUACGGACGNGUAGAGAGCGACGACGACGACGAGGAGGAGGAG
This 642-nucleotide ribosomal RNA is filed under the name uncultured bacterium. RNAcentral describes it as "bacterial SSU rRNA". It matches the Rfam family "Bacterial small subunit ribosomal RNA", at positions 338 to 961 of the family's 1533-position model. The record is from RNAcentral.